AAGAAAGGCGAUGCUAAGAAACGUGCUGCAGGGGAGGCUGGCACAUUCUGCUCCUUAGCUAACCGCACAGGCCCAUGGGUCCACACACAUCAGACCAUGGCUCUCUGUGGUCUAUCUUUGCCAUUACUUUAACCAGGCUGUUUCUCAUGCGCUCAUGGAGGGUGACUGAAGAUGCCACCCCGAGGUGCACCCUCAGCCUCGCUGGACACUUACGGCUCGCAUUCUCCAGCCGGACCAGGCAGUUGAGGAAGUCAUCGAAGUCCAGCUGGAGCUCCUCAUCCGCAUACCUGAGCACAAUCAGCUGCAGGAGGUGGCUGCUCAGCUGAAAGCCUGUGGGGACAAAGGAGGAGACCCAGGACUCGCUGUAUCCGAGCCCCGAGGGUAUGCGGAAGCGAGCACCCCAGUCUGAGAUGGCUCCUGCCGGUGUGAGCCUGAGGGCCACCAUCCUCUGCCUCCUGGCCUGGGCUGGCCUGGCUGCAGGUGACCGGGUGUACAUACACCCCUUCCACCUCGUCAUCCACAAUGAGAGUACCUGU
This is a long non-coding RNA of Homo sapiens (human), 536 nucleotides long. The record is from Ensembl. NCBI's taxonomy places the organism in Eukaryota, Metazoa, Chordata, Mammalia, Primates, Hominidae.